UGGUGCGAAUUCUCUUUGACUAGGGAUCCAAAGAGGGUGCUAGACCCUUACGCAUUGUUGACUUUUCGUACGCGUUCGUUUCUUGGAGUAGGGUUGUUUUGGAUCGCAGCCCAAAGUAGGUGGUAUACUUCAUCUAAAGCUAAAUACCACUACGAAUCCGAUAGCAAACAAGUACCGUGAGGGAAAGUUGCAAAGUACUUUGAAGAGAGAGUUCAAGAGGACGUGAAACCGGUAGGGUGGAAGCAGAUAAAGUUGACGAACGUGUGUCGUAUUCASAACUACAAUUUGUGGUUUGUUUUUACGAUCGAUGUGGGCUGGCGUCUUUGGUUAACUUAGUGUCUGGCGGCAAUGGUGACCCUGCGGAGGGAUAAUCGGUUGUCGUGCGAUGCUUGGUAUGGCUAGAGGUUCGCUGGUCUUAUAGUCAUCGCUUUAUCUGACCCGUCUUGAAACACGGACCAAGGAGUGUAGCGCUUACGCGAGUCUUAGAGUGUGUCAAAACUUUGAGGCGUAACGAAAGUAAAUGUGGAUUUAUUCACUGACUUGGGAUGCGUUGUCUUUUUUGGAUAGCGUUGGACCAUGGUUUUAUCGUAAUCGCUUGCGAUGCG
Molecule: ribosomal RNA, 605 nt
Filed under: Steinernema sp. PB10.4TH
Lineage: Eukaryota; Metazoa; Nematoda; Chromadorea; Rhabditida; Steinernematidae
Description: eukaryotic LSU rRNA
Rfam family: Eukaryotic large subunit ribosomal RNA
Source: RNAcentral